GCCUGAGUGAUGAAAUUGGUAGACAUGACGGAUUCAAAAUCCGUUGGUGAAUAACCGUGUCGGUUCGAGUCCGACCUCAGGCACCA
Molecule: transfer RNA, 86 nt
Filed under: Histophilus somni
Lineage: Bacteria; Pseudomonadati; Pseudomonadota; Gammaproteobacteria; Pasteurellales; Pasteurellaceae
Also listed under: 29 other names
Description: tRNA-Leu
Rfam family: tRNA
About the family: Transfer RNA (tRNA) molecules are approximately 80 nucleotides in length.
Source: RNAcentral